Long non-coding RNA from Fukomys damarensis (Damara mole-rat), 274 nucleotides. RefSeq lists it as uncharacterized. The record is from RefSeq and is a predicted model, not a curated record. The transcript has 3 exons. Lineage: Eukaryota; Metazoa; Chordata; Mammalia; Rodentia; Bathyergidae.
GCUGGCCAGGGCCCUCGACGGAGGAGAGCCUGCUCGGAGCCCCGGCCCGCUCUCCAGCCUAACGGUUUCCACAGCGCCUGCUCCCGGGGUGGGACGGGGCUGGACUGCUCGGCGUCCGCCACCUUCCUGGAGCUUCAUUGACACCAGGUCUUAACUGGUGUCUGGAGAAGUUUGAGGGAUUCUCCAGUUGUGUCUUCCUCUGUACAGACUAUCUACAGUUACAAGGUUGGUUGGCUGAAGUGACAGCAGGAUUUUUGAGCAUUUGAUACCUACA